RNAcentral lists this non-coding RNA (251 nucleotides) under Bacillus atrophaeus. Its description in RNAcentral is "T-box sequence". It matches the Rfam family "T-box leader". Rfam says of the family: Uncharged tRNA acts as the effector for transcription antitermination of genes in the T-box leader family. T-boxes are found upstream of many aminoacyl-tRNA synthetase genes and some amino acid biosynthetic genes usually in Gram-positive bacteria. The record is from RNAcentral. Lineage: Bacteria; Bacillati; Bacillota; Bacilli; Caryophanales; Bacillaceae.
UCAACAAUCUGGAGGAAGAGUAAGUACGUAUCAGUGUGCGGGGUCCAGAGAGUCGGUGGCUGCUGAGAACCGAUCCUCCCCUGAUACCGAAUGGGCUUCUGAAUUGCAUCGCCGAAACAAUAGUAAGCGCUGCCGGGAUUCUCUCCCCGUUACCAAGAGAGGAGUAUCGAAACUUACGUUUUCUGUACUUAUGAGUGAAUGGCUUUUUGAGCUGUUAAUAAAGGUGGUACCGCGAAACCCUCGUCCUUUGA